RNAcentral lists this ribosomal RNA (444 nucleotides) under uncultured bacterium. RNAcentral describes it as "bacterial SSU rRNA". It matches the Rfam family "Bacterial small subunit ribosomal RNA", at positions 355 to 796 of the family's 1533-position model. The record is from RNAcentral.
UAAGGAAUAUUGGUCAAUGGACGCAAGUCUGAACCAGCCAUGCCGCGUGGAGGAUGAAGGUCCUCUGGAUUGUAAACUUCUUUUAUAUGGGACGAAAAAGGGUCUUUCUAGAUCAACUGACGGUACCAUAUGAAUAAGCACCGGCUAACUCCGUGCCAGCAGCCGCGGUAAUACGGAGGGUGCAAGCGUUAUCCGGAUUCACUGGGUUUAAAGGGUGCGUAGGCGGGUUAGUAAGUCAGUGGUGAAAUCCCCGAGCUUAACUUGGGAACUGCCAUUGAUACUAUUAGUCUUGAAUACCGUGGAGGUCGACGGAAUAUGUCAUGUAGCGGUGAAAUGCUUAGAUAUGACAUAGAACACCAAUUGCGAAGGCAGUUGACUACGCGAGUAUUGACGCUGAUGCACGAAAGCGUGGGGAUCAAACAGGAUUAGAUACCCCCGUAGUCC